Molecule: ribosomal RNA, 546 nt
Filed under: uncultured Glomeromycotina
Lineage: Eukaryota; Fungi; Glomeromycota
Description: SSU rRNA
Rfam family: Eukaryotic small subunit ribosomal RNA
Source: RNAcentral
UUGGAGGGCAAGUCUGGUGCCAGCAGCCGCGGUAAUUCCAGCUCCAAUAGCGUAUAUUAAAGUUGUUGCAGUUAAAAAGCUCGUAGUUGAAUUUCGGGAUUAGUACGCUGGUCGUGCCUUCGGUACGUACUGGUGUUACUGAUUUCUACCUUCUGACGAACCAUCAUGUCAUUAAUUUGGUGUGGUGGGGAAUCAGGACUGUUACUUUGAAAAAAUUAGAGUGUUUAAAGCAGGCUCGCGCUUGAAUACAUUAGCAUGGAAUAAUGAAAUAGGACGUUGAUCCUAUUUUGUUGGUUUCUAGGAUUGACGUAAUGAUUAAUAGGGAUAGUUGGGGGCAUUAGUAUUCAAUUGUCAGAGGUGAAAUUCUUGGAUUUAUUGAAGACUAACUACUGCGAAAGCAUUUGCCAAGGAUGUUUUCAUUAAUCAAGAACGAAAGUUAGGGGAUCGAAGACGAUCAGAUACCGUCGUAGUCUUAACCAUAAACUAUGCCGACUAGGGAUCGGAUGAUGUUAUUUUUAAUGACUCAUUCGGCGCCUUACGGGAAAC